AUGCCUACAAUACCACUACUACCAGUGGUCAAAUGGCUAUGGAAGACAUGCUGUCAGUUAAAACAUAAUAUCUUCUUUUGGCUUCUAGCACAUGACAGGUUAAAUACAGGAACCCUCUUACUAUGCAAAAAUUUCUUUAUACAGGAUUACACAUGUGUCUUUUACAGCAUGCAAACUCUUGAAACAAGAGACCACCUUUUCUUCCACUGCCCAUUUGCAAAAAUUUCCUGGAACUACAUCUAUCCCUCUUGAACUCCCACCGACCUAGGUCUUCAGGAAGAGAUUGAUCAGCUGGAAAUACAAAUCAACCUGCCUUUCGCCUUGGAAAUCAUCAUUCUGGUGACUUGGGCUAUAUGGAACACAAGGAAUGAUUUCAUCUUCACACAGAUUAGCCCGAGUUUGUAUGCUUGCAUGAGAAAUCUCAAGGAUGAAAUCAAAUGGCUCGUUUACAGAACCAAGAAGAAAGAAUAUAGUAGGCUAGAGACUAGGUCAAAGCUUUCUUGUAACUAG
This 510-nucleotide ribosomal RNA is filed under the name Triticum aestivum (bread wheat). RNAcentral describes it as "partial small subunit ribosomal RNA". Lineage: Eukaryota; Viridiplantae; Streptophyta; Magnoliopsida; Poales; Poaceae. The record is from RNAcentral.